GACAGAGGGUGCAAGCGUUGUCCGGAAUUAUUGGGCGUAAAGAGCGUGUAGGCGGCCCGAUUAGUCCGCUGUGAAAGUCCAGGGCUCAACCCUGGAAUGCCGGUGGAUACUGUCGGGCUAGAGUCCGGAAGGGGCGAGUGGAAUUCCUGGUGUAGCGGUGAAAUGCGCAGAUAUCAGGAGGAACACCAAUGGCGAAGGCAGCUCGCUGGGACGUGACUGACGCUGAGACGCGAAAGCGUGGGGAGCAAACAGG
RNAcentral lists this ribosomal RNA (253 nucleotides) under uncultured bacterium. Its description in RNAcentral is "partial 16S ribosomal RNA". It matches the Rfam family "Bacterial small subunit ribosomal RNA", at positions 524 to 776 of the family's 1533-position model. The record is from RNAcentral.